RNAcentral lists this ribosomal RNA (573 nucleotides) under beta proteobacterium zj34. RNAcentral describes it as "bacterial SSU rRNA". It matches the Rfam family "Bacterial small subunit ribosomal RNA", at positions 343 to 909 of the family's 1533-position model. The record is from RNAcentral. Lineage: Bacteria; Pseudomonadati; Pseudomonadota; Betaproteobacteria.
GGGAGGCAGCAGUGGGGAAUUUUGGACAAUGGGCGCAAGCCUGAUCCAGCAAUGCCGCGUGAGUGAAGAAGGCCUUCGGGUUGUAAAGCUCUUUUGUCAGGGAAGAAACGGUGAGUCCUAAUACGGCUUGCUAAUGACGGUACCUGAAGAAUAAGCACCGGCUAACUACGUGCCAGCAGCCGCGGUAAUACGUAGGGUGCAAGCGUUAAUCGGAAUUACUGGGCGUAAAGCGUGCGCAGGCGGUUAUAUAAGUCAGAUGUGAAAUCCCCGGGCUCAACCUGGGAACUGCAUUUGAGACUGUAUGGCUAGAGUGUGUCAGAGGGGGGUAGAAUUCCACGUGUAGCAGUGAAAUGCGUAGAUAUGUGGAGGAAUACCGAUGGCGAAGGCAGCCCCCUGGGAUAACACUGACGCUCAUGCACGAAAGCGUGGGGAGCAAACAGGAUUAGAUACCCUGGUAGUCCACGCCCUAAACGAUGUCUACUAGUUGUCGGGACUUAAUUGUCUUGGUAACGCAGCUAACGCGUGAAGUAGACCGCCUGGGGAGUACGGUCGCAAGAUUAAAACUCAAAGGAA